Molecule: ribosomal RNA, 490 nt
Filed under: uncultured bacterium
Lineage: Bacteria
Description: partial 16S ribosomal RNA
Rfam family: Bacterial small subunit ribosomal RNA
Source: RNAcentral
AUUGAACGCUGGCGGCAUGCUUUACACAUGCAAGUCGGACGGCAGCGGGGUAGUGCUUGCACUACUGCCGGCGAGUGGCGAACGGGUGAGUAAUAUAUUGGAACGUACCGAGUAAUGGGGGAUAACCAAUCGAAAGAUUGGCUAAUACCGCAUACGCUCUGAGGAGGAAAGCAGGGGACCUUCGGGCCUUGCGUUAUUCGAGCGGCCAAUAUCUGAUUAGCUAGUUGGUGGGGUAAGGGCCUACCAAGGCGACGAUCAGUAGCGGGUCUGAGAGGAUGAUCCGCCACACUGGGACUGAGACACGGCCCAGACUCCUACGGGAGGCAGCAGUGGGGAAUGUUGGACAAAGGGCGCAAGCCUGAUCCAGCCAUGCCGCGUGUCUGAAGAAGGCCUUCGGGUCGUAAAGGACUUUUGUUAGGGAAGAAAAAGGAGCGGUUAAUACCCGUUUCUGCUGACGGUACCUAAAGAAUAAGCACCGGCUAACUACGUG